CAUAAAGAGAAAUAUAUUAUUAGAGACAAAGUCUCCCAUAUCGGAAAUCGGAAAAGAAUCUACGUAAUAUAUAAGAUUAGGAAUGUUAUAUAGGGUUGUGAGAUUUAGGUUUGGCCCAGCCCAUCUAAUAAUUUAAGAACCCUAACCCUAAUGCAUUACUCUUAAAGUGUUUAGGACUGAUUUAGGGUUGGGCUAAAGAAAUAAAGGGUAUUGACAGGGUUGACUCUAUUAGAUAACUUUUGUUUUUUUUUUGUUAAAGAACAAUGUUUUGGUGUAGGGAUAAAACUUCAAAAAACCAACAUCCUUCCAAAUUCGCCAAGUUUUCCCACCAAAACCAAGAAAUCGAAGUUUCCGCAAAAACUGUAAAACAAGAUUUUCCGCCAAAACCGAGAAAUCGAGGUUUCCCGGCAAAACCGAGAAAUCGAGAUUUCCUGCCAAAAUCGAGAAAUCGAGGUUUCCCACCAAAACCAAAAAAUCGAGGUUUCUCGCCAAAACCAAAAAAUCGAGGUUUUCCGCCAAGACCGAAAAAUCGAGGUUUCCCGCCAAGACCAAAAAAUCUAGUUUUUCCGCCAAAACUGUAAAACAAGAUUUCCCGCCAAUACCGAAAAAUCGAGGUUUCCCGCCAAAAUCGAGAAAUUAAAUUUUCUUGCCAAAGCCGUAAAAUAAGAUUUCCCACCAAAACCGAAAAAUCGAGGUUUCCCGCCAAAACCGUAGACCAAGAUUUUCCUCCAAAACCGAAAAAUCAAGUUUUCCCGUCAAAACUGAAAAAAUCAAAAUUUUGCCAAAACUAUAAAACAA
Molecule: long non-coding RNA, 798 nt
Organism: Brassica rapa (field mustard)
Lineage: Eukaryota; Viridiplantae; Streptophyta; Magnoliopsida; Brassicales; Brassicaceae
Source: RefSeq, a predicted model, not a curated record